Molecule: long non-coding RNA, 4371 nt
Filed under: Mus musculus (house mouse)
Lineage: Eukaryota; Metazoa; Chordata; Mammalia; Rodentia; Muridae
Description: predicted gene, 70829
Source: RNAcentral
CCUUCCUUGUACCUUUUUCUUUUCUUUCUCUAUUUUCAACUGAGCACUAGAAUAGCGUGCGUGCGUGCGUGCGUGCGUGCGAGUGAGGUGGGGGGGUGUGAGUAUUUUGCCUAUGUGCUGUUUUGUUUUGUUUUCCGAGACAGGGUUUCUCUGUGUAGCCCUGGCUGGCCUGGAACUCAGAAAUGCUCCUGCCUCUGCCUCCCGAGUGCUGGGUGGGAUCAAAGUCGUGGCCAACACUGCCCAGCUCCUGCACUGCAUACACCUAGUGUCCUCUCAGAUUAGAACAAGGAAUCAAAUCUUCUGAAACUAGAGUUAUAGAUAGUGAUGAGCCAACACAUGGACUCUGGCAACAAGUCCUCUUAGCCACUGGCCAUCUCCCCAGCUCCUAAGCACUUAAAUCUUUCAGGGUUGAAUAAACCUAUUCUGCCAAAUGAUCUACUUGGCAACAUUCACUUUCAAGGUUUGUGUAUAUGUGUGGUGCAUGUGUGUGUUAUGUGGUUAUGUGUGCACAGGUGUGCCCACCUAUAUGAAUUUAUAUGCACAAGUGUCCAAGUGACUGCUGAGGCCAGUGAUAAUACUGGGAACUGAAUGAACCUUGUUCUCCUGUAAGUGCUUUUAGGAGCCAUCCAUGUCCAUCUCUCCAACUCAGUUACUCACUUUCCUUUAGAUAUGAAAUGCCUCUGUGCUCCUCACAUAUGGUCAGAUCCUCUACAAUAUAGAAAAUCCAUCUUAAAUCUCCUUUCUUUAUUCAAAGGAAAGAAAGCACAGGUAAGAAAUCCAGUGAAAAAAGAAAGCCAUCACUAGGAAUGGUGGCACACACCUAGACAUCUAGGCACUAGGAAAACAGAGGCAGCACCAAGAUCAUAAAUUUGAGGGCAGCCUGGACUAUACAGCAAGACCCUGUCUCCAAAAAACAAACAAACAAACAAUCUAACAAGAGCUAGAGCUCAAUAGUAGACGGUUUGCCUAGCACUGUAUGGCCCUAGGUUCCAUCCUGAGGGAGAAGUUAGCAAGGAAGGAAUUCAUUCUUCAUGACCUUUUUUCUUUUUUGGUAGUGCUAAAGACUGAACACGUAGGACAUAAGACAUAAUAAAGUCACUCUUGCUAGGUGUGGUAGCACAUUCCUUGUACCCCAGCACUCUGCAGGCAGAGACAAGCUGAUUGAUCUCCAUGAGUUCAAAUCAUGGUUCUCAACCAACAGGUCGAAACCCCUUUUCAUAGGAGUUGCCUAAGACCAUCAGAAAACAGAUGUUUUUACAUUGUGAUUUAUAACAGUAGCAAAAUUACAGUUCUAAAUUAGCAACAAGAAUAAUUUUUGGUUGGGAUCACAACCAAAUGAAAAACUAUAUUAAAGGGUCACAGCAUUGAGAAGGUUGAGACCACUGGUUUAAGGCCAGCCUGGUCUACAUAGAGAAUUCCAAACAAACCAGGGCCACAUGAGACCCUGUUUCAAAUAAAAAUAAAAAGGAAGUAAGUCAUCUUUGCUUUCCUUGACUGUGGCUGGUUCCCUGGCUCCAGGAAAAAGGAGGGAGCUGGCAAGAGGACAAAACCAAGAGAACAUGUGGCCCUUGCAGCUCACACAGGAACAGAGCCCAUCGAGGCUAGCCUACUCUGCUCCAACUCUUACAUGAUCACAUUUGACGGAAAUGCUUACAGCUGCAGUGAAAUUAACCUGUGCCAGUCCGGAAGACUGAGAUGGAGGAGUUGGUACCAAAGCCCCAGACAUCACACUACUCCUGGCCUUGCUCUUUCUUGUCAUCUGAUACCUCUUUGAGCUUUAUGUGGCUAUACCAUCAGCUGCCCUCCUGAAUGGUGAAGUAGCUUAGCUGUGAGGCACCUCUCCCUGACCAGUGGAAGCAGCCCAAGUAAGUGGGGUGGAGCUUUUAUCUUGGCAAAGAGAACUCUCAGCAACCAGGUAUAAUCAUGAUUCCCACCACUGUUACACUCAAGACUGGCCCAUAUCCCCAGUCUUCUCAAGUGUACUCAGAAGCAAUUUUACCUGGUUCCCUUUGUGCUAACAUGGCCAUCCCUGAGGCUAAACCCUGAUUCUAAGGCAUGGCCAAAGUUUGGAAGAGAUACCCGAUUUGGGAUCACCCCUUUUCCCAGGACUGAAAAUACUACAUGGCUCAACUUCCAUUCUACUGUUCCCUGGUCAAGUUGAAUUUUAAGAAACAGAUCAUCUAUCAGGUGGCCACCAUCAUUCUUCUUAGUUUCUCCCGGUUUGUCAACUCUGAGCAGUGACCCUUACCAUCAUGGGUUUCUCAUGACCUGCCAGAGACAGCCAAAAUGUUUUAAUUACACAGCAUGGAAAAUAUCUAGUAACAUCUUCCUCAUCUUUGCCAUUGUUUUCAUCAUCACCUGGCAGGCCUCCUUGCCCUCUGGUUCUUGCACCACACCCUGGUAUGCCCACUAGAGCUUGCUCACUCAGGCCUUUUCCAUCAGUACCACCUCAACACCAUGACGAUGAUGCUGACCUUCUGGACCUACCUCUUUUUGCACAUGGUCCACAAGUUCAUAAAAGCUAGUAGAUGACAAACAUACUAACAGAGAAGAAAUAAAAAGCUCAGAGAAGAAGGCCACAUCUUCAAUAAAAUCCUAAGAGUGGCUAGGGAGAUGGCUCAGUGAAAGAAUAUACAGCAGGUCUGGAGAAAUGGCUCCAUGUCCAAGAGCACUUACUGCUCAUGUAGAGGACCCAGUUCAGCUCCCAACACAAAUACCAGAUGCUCCUAACUGCCUACAACACCAGUUCCAGAAGAUGCCACACCCAAGGGUAUCUGCAUUCACACAGUCUCUCACAGAUACAUGCAAAUACACACCAAUUAAAAAUAGUAAGUUUUUAAAAAGAGCAUAUUGCUCUUCCAGAGAACCUGAGCUCAAUUCCCAGCACCCACAUUAGUGGCUCACCACCACCUAUACCUCCAGAUCCAGGGGAUACAACACUCUCUCUCUUCUGGCUUCAGAGGGCACAUGUGCACACACUAAAAAAUCUUUUUAAAAAUCAUCAUAAGACUGUAUAAGUGGUAGGUGGUGGUGCAUGCCUUUACCCCAGCACUCAGGAGAUGGAGGCAAGCAGACAGCUGUGAAUUCAAGGCCAAACUAGUCUACAGAGAGUUCCAGGACAGCCAGGAAUAUAGAGAAACCCUGUCUCAAAAAACAAAACAGAAUGACUGAACCACUGUCCUAGCUACCGCCCACAAUAAUCUAUAAAGUGCAAAAGCUAAUCCACUUCCCCUAUAGAGGAUACCAGGCUCUGAUGAAAAGAGAGAGAAAGGGAGAGGACAUUCGUUCCCUUCCCUUCAUCAUCCAGAUGCCCUUAAGCCGGACUCUCAGCAGAAGCGAGUCUGGUUAUAGCUUCUGCUAGCAGAGCUCUCCCACUCUCUGCGCUCCCUUUCUAUUGCUUUUGAGAACCUUCCUCACUUCUGAGACCUUAAGAGUUUGGACCUGGUUGUUUGCCUUUUAACUCCCUGACCUCUAACCAGGGUUGAUCUUAGACCUCAUUCUGUCAAAGCUAGGACAAGGUUCCACCUUUCUAAGGUUCAAAGCUAGGACAAGGUUCCCAGCUGGGUUACAAACCAAAGCCAAGCUGACUUUAACUUCUUCCUUCCUGAAGCUCAAUGAAUUAACUGAAUGUGGCAGUGUGACCUUCCCACCUCCUCUAAAGCAAGGGCACUUCCUGGAGACCGCUGGACUGCCUCUGCAGCUGCUUUCCCAGCUGCCUCUCGGGCCUCUUCUUUCCUGUCCGUUAUUCUAGCUGCUUUGGGUGAUUGGGAACUACUUCUAAUCUGUACUCACUAAAUAUUUGGAGUUUCAGUUUCCAAGACACAGUUGUAGCUAGCUAGUACCUAAGGAAACAUUUCAGAGCAAAUUUUACUGUUGACAGUUUUGGGUUUUUUGGUUUUGUUUUGAAGCUAAAAUAUAGUAAAGGCUAAAACAUGAGAAUGUGUCAAGCAAGUAAGAAUGGAGUCACACACCUUUGAGUCCAGCAUUGGGAAACAGAGACAGAGGCAGAUAGAUCUCUGCUACUUCCCGGCUAAAUAGCACAGUGGUGAAAUUCUGUCUCCAAGAGAGAAAACUAAGGAACUAAUUAUAGUAGACUUUUUUUUUAAUUGCCCCCACAUAAUCCUUUACUUGAAAAAACUGGAGAAAACAUUUAAUUUUUCAUUUUUAUUGUUCUUUUAUCCAGAAAGGCAAUUAAUAUAUAAUUAAAAUUCUAAACACACUUAGCUUCUGCAUCUGACUUAGCAGACAAUAAGUACCUUUGAGCUGCAGAUCAAAUUUAGGUUUCUAGUGAGCCAUCCGUUUUUAUUACAUACCUAUUGGGGAAGAAGUAGCCACCCUUGUUUCUCAGUAAUCUGGCCUUAGGUAAAAUGU